RNAcentral lists this ribosomal RNA (394 nucleotides) under uncultured bacterium. RNAcentral's name for it is "partial 16S ribosomal RNA". It matches the Rfam family "Bacterial small subunit ribosomal RNA", at positions 338 to 730 of the family's 1533-position model. The record is from RNAcentral.
CCUACGGGAGGCAGCAGUGAGGAAUAUUGGUCAAUGGCCGUAAGCCUGAACCAGCCAAGUCGCGUGAGGGAUGAAGGUUCUAUGGAUCGUAAACCUCUUUUGUCAGGGAAUAAAAUGUGGGACGUGUCCUAUUCCGUCGGUACCUUAUGAAAAAGGAUCGGCUAACUCCGUGCCAGCAGCCGCGGUAAUACGGAGGAUCCGAUCUUUAUACGGAUUUAUUGGGUUUAAAGGGUGCGUAGGGGGCCUGUUAAGUCAGCGGUAAAAGCCCGGGGUUCAACCCCGGAUAGCCGUUGAAACUGGGUGGCUUGAGUAGGCGAGAGGCAGGCGGAAUGCGUGGUGUAGCGGUGAAAUGCUUAGAUAUGACGCAGAACCCCGAUUGCGAAGGCAGCAUACC